CAGUAGCCACGGGAAUACGAGGGGGGCAAGCGUUGUUCGGAAUUACUGGGCGUAAAGCGCACGUAGGCGGCUUUGUAAGUCAGAGGUGAAAGCCUGGAGCUCAACUCCAGAACUGCCUUUGAGACUGCAUCGCUUGAAUCCAGGAGAGGUGAGUGGAAUUCCGAGUGUAGAGGUGAAAUUCGUAGAUAUUCGGAAGAACACCAGUGGCGAAGGCGGCUCACUGGACUGGUAUUGACGCUGAGGUGCGAAAGCGUGGGGAGCAAACAGGAUUAGAUACCCCAGUAGUCCCUGUCUCUUAUAC
Molecule: ribosomal RNA, 301 nt
Filed under: uncultured bacterium
Lineage: Bacteria
Description: partial 16S ribosomal RNA
Rfam family: Bacterial small subunit ribosomal RNA
Source: RNAcentral